GUGGACGAGGGGGACUGAAGACCCCAGAGAUGAUGCAGAUGCCGACAAAGCAGCGGAGAUGUCCCAGGAGCUGUUUCAAACUCGAGGCGGAGAGAGCAGGGCCUUGGGAUGGAGUCGGGCAUCGGGUGCACAAGCGGCCCAGGCUGACAGAUUCUCCCCAAAGCCCAGCAUGGGUCCUUCCAGGCUGUCCUUUCAUAUAAAGAUGCUGCCUCGCGACGACCGCCUGGCCUCCGGUGGUCCUGUGGCCCUUUCCAGGUACGAGCACCCCCGGCGUCCUGUCCCUGCCUGCCCCUGCGGUGCCGAGCACCAGGGCGGCCCGUGCAGGUGUCCCGGGGUCGCAGGGGGGAGGGAGACCCCAGAACAGCACGCUUCCUCCCGCCAGUCGAGAACAAACAGUCCUCAGAGAACAGCACGUCCAGCACGCGCUGGUGGCCAACCCGGCUCAGGGUGCAUGAGCGCCUGGGCGCCAUCAGCGGCCCCUGGGGUGCCCACAGAACUGCUGAUUCUCCAGGAUUCUCCUUUACAACAGUCUGCAAGCCCCGAGUUUUCUAGAAUGAGCAUCUAUGUCUAUCGUGGAUGCCCAGCAUGGAAAGGGAGGGAAGGCCCGGGACGCGGAGGCCGGGGAGGCCGUGGGGGUCUGCAGGGCAGCCUGUCCCCUGCCCCAGGCAGCCUGGGGCUCCUCCUCAGCUCCGUUCCCAGGCCAGCACUUCGGGAUCCAUGCAAGUCACGGGGCUCCCUGUGUCUCUUUUUUUUUUUUUAA
RNAcentral lists this long non-coding RNA (760 nucleotides) under Vulpes vulpes (red fox). RNAcentral's name for it is "lncRNA (ENSVVUG00000001107.1)". The record is from RNAcentral. Lineage: Eukaryota; Metazoa; Chordata; Mammalia; Carnivora; Canidae.